This 962-nucleotide ribosomal RNA is filed under the name uncultured Flavobacteriaceae bacterium. Its description in RNAcentral is "bacterial SSU rRNA". It matches the Rfam family "Bacterial small subunit ribosomal RNA", at positions 52 to 1019 of the family's 1533-position model. The record is from RNAcentral. Lineage: Bacteria; Pseudomonadati; Bacteroidota; Flavobacteriia; Flavobacteriales; Flavobacteriaceae.
CACAUGCAAGUCGAGGGGUAUAGUUCUUCGGAGCUAGAGACCGGCGCACGGGUGCGUAACGCGUAUGCAAUCUACCUUUUACAGAGGGAUAGCCCAGAGAAAUUUGGAUUAAUACCUCAUAGUAUGUGAGAAUCGCAUGGUUUUCACAUUAAAGUCACAACGGUAAAAGAUGAGCAUGCGUCCCAUUAGCUAGAUGGUAAGGUAACGGCUUACCAUGGCAACGAUGGGUAGGGGUCCUGAGAGGGAGAUCCCCCACACUGGUACUGAGACACGGACCAGACUCCUACGGGAGGCAGCAGUGAGGAAUAUUGGACAAUGGGCGCAAGCCUGAUCCAGCCAUGCCGCGUGCAGGAUGACGGUCCUAUGGAUUGUAAACUGCUUUUGUACAGGAAGAAACACUCCCUCGUGAGGGAGCUUGACGGUACUGUAAGAAUAAGGAUCGGCUAACUCCGUGCCAGCAGCCGCGGUAAUACGGAGGAUCCAAGCGUUAUCCGGAAUCAUUGGGUUUAAAGGGUCCGUAGGCGGUUUAAUAAGUCAGUGGUGAAAGCCCAUCGCUCAACGGUGGAACGGCCAUUGAUACUGUUAAACUUGAAUUAUUAGGAAGUAACUAGAAUAUGUAGUGUAGCGGUGAAAUGCUUAGAGAUUACAUGGAAUACCAAUUGCGAAGGCAGGUUACUACUAAUGGAUUGACGCUGAUGGACGAAAGCGUGGGUAGCGAACAGGAUUAGAUACCCUGGUAGUCCACGCCGUAAACGAUGGAUACUAGCUGUUGGGAGCAAUCUCAGUGGCUAAGCGAAAGUGAUAAGUAUCCCACCUGGGGAGUACGUUCGCAAGAAUGAAACUCAAAGGAAUUGACGGGGGCCCGCACAAGCGGUGGAGCAUGUGGUUUAAUUCGAUGAUACGCGAGGAACCUUACUCAGGCUUAAAUGUAGUUUGACCGAUUUGGAAACAGAUCUUUCGCA